RNAcentral lists this ribosomal RNA (554 nucleotides) under Hansenula anomala. Its description in RNAcentral is "LSU rRNA". It matches the Rfam family "Eukaryotic large subunit ribosomal RNA", at positions 88 to 657 of the family's 3401-position model. The record is from RNAcentral. Lineage: Eukaryota; Fungi; Ascomycota; Saccharomycetes; Phaffomycetales; Wickerhamomycetaceae.
GGCGAGUGAGCGGCAAAGCUCAAAUUUGAAAUCUAGCACCUUCGGUGUUCGAGUUGUAAUUUGAAGAUGGUAACCUUGGGUUUGGCUCUUGUCUAUGUUCCUUGGAACAGGACGUCAUAGAGGGUGAGAAUCCCGUCUGAUGAGAUGCCCAUUCCUAUGUAAGGUGCUAUCGAAGAGUCGAGUUGUUUGGGAAUGCAGCUCUAAGUGGGUGGUAAAUUCCAUCUAAAGCUAAAUAUUGGCGAGAGACCGAUAGCGAACAAGUACAGUGAUGGAAAGAUGAAAAGAACUUUGAAAAGAGAGUGAAAAAGUACGUGAAAUUGUUGAAAGGGAAGGGCAUUAGAUCAGACUUGGUGUUUUACGAUUAUCUUCUCUUCUUGAGUUGUGCACUCGUAUUUCACUGGGCCAGCAUCGAUUCGGAUGGCAAGAUAAUGGCAGUUGAAUGUGGCUUCACUUCGGUGGAGUGUUAUAGCUUCUGCUGAUAUUGCCUGUCUGGAUCGAGGGCUGCGUCUUUUGACUAGGAUGCUGGCGUAAUGAUCUAAUGCCGCCCGUCUUGA